Molecule: long non-coding RNA, 1765 nt
Organism: Daphnia pulicaria
Lineage: Eukaryota; Metazoa; Arthropoda; Branchiopoda; Diplostraca; Daphniidae
Exons: 11
Source: RefSeq, a predicted model, not a curated record
UACUUUGCCGUAGCUCAAACAGCUAUGACAUCUGAUAUCACUUUACCGUCUUGUAAAUCACACGUUAAGUAGCCGGAUUCAAGUUUUAAUUUUUUAAACAUAAUAACCGUAAUCAUAACUAUUAAGUUCAUUUGUUAAAAAUUCCAGUUUCAUUUCAGAACUGAUUUAUUUUAAAGAAUAAGUAAAUAAACGUGCUCGCUCUGCAGUUUUUUCUCCCCUAGCCAGAUCUCCCCUUCGGCCUUCAACGCGUCGCUUGCCCAGUGCAUAGGCCAUAGAUUUCCAUCUAUCGGUUAAAAUGGCGUGGUUCAUUAGCGUCAUGAAGAUGGCGUCAUCUGUCCAUCAAUCCAUCAUCAACCUCAUCGUUAAUUUACAAAUACAAACAAGAAAAAAAAUCGAUUUUGAAUCGUUUUUAUGUCAAGCAGACGCCAAGCAUCUUUGAAUAGCGUGGUCUGUGCUCUAUGAUAAGUGUUACUGCUGGAGUGAGCAAUUUCAGAUAGCGUCAUGAUGGCGUGCCCCGUUAGCGUCAUGAUGGCGUGCCCCGUUAGCGUCAUGGUUGGCGUGCCCUGUUAGCGUCAUGGUUGGCGUGCCCUAUGUAAGCGUCGUGAUUGGCGUGCCCUGUGUUAACACAAUAUGCUUUCUUUAUUCGUGUGCUGUGAUUUCAACACCAGCAUUGGUCAGAGGAGACUCGCAAGCAGCAAGCUAGAACCUCUUCAUCAGCCAGAAGCUUGCUACAAAGAAGUACACAGUUCAGGGGCUGCACAGAUGUGCAACAAUUUUAUCGAGCCAUGGCAUCUGAGUGUGAUGGUGCCCUGUCAAUUUAUAAUAUGCCAACCCCUAACUAGCCUAGGAGUAAACAGGUUGAUUUGCAUUAUUUGGAUCUUCUCUAACAGAAAUCAACUGAGGACCACCAGACAGCAUCUUAACAGACGAGCUCUUCUAGUAAAAUUUUGAGUGAUGAUGGAGAUUGGGGUUGGUUUGCCCCUCCGAAGUCACGAAAGGAUUAUUCUGCAUCGUAUUUUUCAAUAUUGCAGCCUACGACAAGCGUGUUGAAGUUGAAGAACAUUUACCAGAGCAAAAAGUACUGAAAGAUAAGUCUGCUGUAACCAUAGAUUCGCACAAUAGUUUAGAGCUACGGGUAGUAGUAUUUUCUCUACCGGGUUGGUUACUAUUCACGUUCUUCAGCAAUCAGAUCCAUGCAGUGCUUGCUAAAUCCGUGCAGGUUUCAAGUGAAGCGAAAACGGACAAAUUACCAAACUGGAAUCAGCGCAAGCGACAGCUCUUAUGCAAGAAGUCGUACCUACCCUCACAAGUUUGUUUGAAGUGCAUAAUGGAAUUAUACAUCUCCAACAAAUAAGUCUUCUAAUCCUGUGGCAGGCGCACGGUUGAAAGCCGAAAAUUUCAAAAGGUACAAGUUGGCAUUAAACGCUUUGUGUUUCCUCAUUAAGGUUGAAAGGAGUACAAUCAUGGAAACAUUACUAGUUGGCCUUAGAACUACUCAUCGUCGCUCUCAUGAGACAUAUUGUAUCGGUCGAUUUCUUCGUCGUUAAUGUUUAAGGGGUGGUCGGGAACGACAGUGGGGAAUGAAGUUUUUAGUUCAAGAACUAUUUCUUCAAGUAGUUCCAUGGUAUUAAUCUAAAAAAUUAAAAUAGUUUUUAUGUCACGUUAACAACAAUUCGAAAAUUGCAAAUAAUACCUCAUUAUCCUGAUAUCUAGACCACAGGGUAAAUAAGAUGGAGUUUUUCAACUGGGUCUCCUUUUUCCUAUG